This 103-nucleotide microRNA precursor is filed under the name Marmota monax (woodchuck). Lineage: Eukaryota; Metazoa; Chordata; Mammalia; Rodentia; Sciuridae. The record is from RNAcentral.
AAUGGGAUAACUGGGUCAAAUGGUGGUUCCAUUCCAAGUUUUCUGAGGAACCUUCAUACUGCUUUCCAGAGUGGUUGCACCAAUUUGCAAUCCCACCAGCAUU